GAAAGUGACAUGGAAAUGUCCGCCGUGGAGGGUGAUAGCCCCGUCCAUCCCGAUCAGGACGCUCCGUAAACAGAAUAUUUCAGAUGAGUCGGGUAGUUUGGGAAUGCUGCUCUAAUUGGUGGUAAAUCUCAUCAAAGGCUAAAUAACGGUGGGAGACCGAUAGCGAACAAGUACCGUGAGGGAAAGAUGAAAAGCACUUUGAAAAGAGGGUGAAAAGAACCUGAAACCGUUACGGGGGAAGCGGAUUGCAUUAUUCUAGUUUUAACGUGUUCAACCUUUUAGGUGCAUUGACGUUAAAACUUAUCUGCUGUGGAUUUUUGAUAAUUGAAAAUGAAUUAUUAAAGAUUGAGGGCUCCACUUUGUGUGAGGACAGCGGAUUGACGAUGCGAUACGACCCGUCUUGAAACACGGACCAAGGAGUCUAGCGCGGGUGCGAGUCGGAAGGUGUAAAAACCUGUGGGCGAAGUGAAAGCGAGAUAAAACUCUCAGUUUGAGGCGGCAUAUUUUCGUUGAAAAUAGGUCCGACCUUGAGCAGUUGCGCUGGGACCCGAAAGAUGGUGAACUAUGCCGGAGUAGGGCAAAGCCAGAGGAAACUCUGGUGGAGGCUCGUAGCGGUGCUGACGUGCAAAUCGCUCGUCGAACUUGGGUAUAGGGGCGAAAGACUAAUCGAACCAUCUAGUAGCU
This 684-nucleotide ribosomal RNA is filed under the name Gelidium sp. LLG-2014. RNAcentral's name for it is "eukaryotic LSU rRNA". It matches the Rfam family "Eukaryotic large subunit ribosomal RNA", at positions 181 to 952 of the family's 3401-position model. The record is from RNAcentral. Lineage: Eukaryota; Rhodophyta; Florideophyceae; Gelidiales; Gelidiaceae.